AGCCAGACUCCUACGGGAGGCAGCAGUGGGGAAUAUUGGGCAAUGGGCGCAAGCCUGACCCAGCAACGCCGCGUGAAGGAAGAAGGCUUUCGGGUUGUAAACUUCUUUUGUCAGGGAAGAGUAGAAGACGGUACCUGACGAAUAAGCCACGGCUAACUACGUGCCAGCAGCCGCGGUAAUACGUAGGUGGCAAGCGUUGUCCGGAUUUACUGGGUGUAAAGGGCGUGUAGCCGGGUUGACAAGUCAGAUGUGAAAUCCUGCGGCUUAACCGCAGAACUGCAUUUGAAACUGUCGUUCUUGAGUACUGGAGAGGUUGACGGAAUUCCUAGUGUAGCGGUGAAAUGCGUAGAUAUUAGGAGGAACACCAGUGGCGAAGGCGGUCAACUGGACAGCAACUGACGCUGAGGCGCGAAAGCGUGGGGAGCAAACAGGAUUAGAUACCCGCGUAU
RNAcentral lists this ribosomal RNA (449 nucleotides) under uncultured bacterium. RNAcentral describes it as "bacterial SSU rRNA". It matches the Rfam family "Bacterial small subunit ribosomal RNA", at positions 329 to 793 of the family's 1533-position model. The record is from RNAcentral.